CAGUCGCCGCGGUAAUACAGAGGGUGCAAGCGUUAAUCGGAAUUACUGGGCGUAAAGCGCGCGUAGGUGGUUUGUUAAGUUGGAUGUGAAAUCCCCGGGCUCAACCUGGGAACUGCAUCCAAAACUGGCAAGCUAGAGUAUGGUAGAGGGUGGUGGAAUUUCCUGUGUAGCGGUGAAAUGCGUAGAUAUAGGAAGGAACACCAGUGGCGAAGGCGACCACCUGGACUGAUACUGACACUGAGGUGCGAAAGCGUGGGGAGCAAACAGGAUUAGAUACCCCCGUAGUCCCUGUCUCUUAUAC
Molecule: ribosomal RNA, 301 nt
Filed under: uncultured bacterium
Lineage: Bacteria
Description: partial 16S ribosomal RNA
Rfam family: Bacterial small subunit ribosomal RNA
Source: RNAcentral